RNAcentral lists this small RNA (27 nucleotides) under Bombyx mori (domestic silkworm). Its description in RNAcentral is "ovarian small RNA-19039". The record is from RNAcentral. Lineage: Eukaryota; Metazoa; Arthropoda; Insecta; Lepidoptera; Bombycidae.
UAACUGUACUUCGAUAUUUGGAUGGUU